GAUGAACGCUGGCGGCGUGCUUAACACAUGCAAGUCGAACGGUGAAGGCGGAGCUUGCUCUGCUGGAUCAGUGGCGAACGGGUGAGUAACACGUGAGCAAUCUGCCCCUGACUCUGGGAUAAGCGCUGGAAACGGCGUCUAAUACUGGAUACGAGCUGCGAAGGCAUCUUCAGCAGCUGGAAAGAAUUUCGGUCAGGGAUGAGCUCGCGGCCUAUCAGCUUGUUGGUGAGGUAACGGCUCACCAAGGCGUCGACGGGUAGCCGGCCUGAGAGGGUGACCGGCCACACUGGGACUGAGACACGGCCCAGACUCCUACGGGAGGCGGCAGUGGGGAAUAUUGCACAAUGGGCGAAAGCCUGAUGCAGCAACGCCGCGUGAGGGACGACGGCCUUCGGGUUGUAAACCUCUUUUAGCAGGGAAGAAGCGAAAGUGACGGUACCUGCAGAAAAAGCGCCGGCUAACUACGUG
Molecule: ribosomal RNA, 468 nt
Filed under: uncultured bacterium
Lineage: Bacteria
Description: partial 16S ribosomal RNA
Rfam family: Bacterial small subunit ribosomal RNA
Source: RNAcentral